This 683-nucleotide long non-coding RNA is filed under the name Linum usitatissimum (flax). RNAcentral's name for it is "long non-coding RNA (LUSI_LNC007606)". Lineage: Eukaryota; Viridiplantae; Streptophyta; Magnoliopsida; Malpighiales; Linaceae. The record is from RNAcentral.
CGACGUAGGUUGAUGACGACGAUAACUACCUAGCUGUUGUAAGUACUUUCUUAUUUUCUUAGUAUCAGUUUGAGUGUCCAGUAAGUCAGGUGAUGGCGAAGCCCCAACUAUUUUUAUUUUCAACUGUGUGUUAGCUGUGCCUCUCCCUCUGACUUCCUCUCUUCUAGCCAUUGUGUUGUCCGUGAGGAGGCUCAAAACGAAGUUGGUGAAGACUUUACUAGGUAAACCUUAUUUUAGAUUUGUGUUUCUUUUAGAUUUGAUGUUAUUUUAGAUCAAAUAUGUUUAAGAGCUGAUGUUUUAGAUUCACAUCUAUUUUGUCUGGGUACUAACCCGUUUUGUUCUUCUAAAAAAUUUUGUUGCUCAUAUGAUUCAGAUCUGAUUAUGCUCUUCUAGGAAAAAAAAUUUGUGAAUUAUUUUUUCUUUUUUUUUCCAGAAAUCAUGGGACCAAAGAAGGAAGGUAGGAAGAAGAAAGGAUGAAAGAAAAAAAGUGUUGAGAUUAGAGGACUAAAUCAGAUAUGAUAUGUUUGUUUUUGUUUUUUUUUCUACUUAGUUAAUAGAGUGUAUAAAAUAGUAAGAGAUGUAUAUUGAUAUAAUGAUAUAAUACAUGUUUAUUAUGUGUAUUUUUUGUAUAUAAUAAUAUAAUGGACUCAUAAAAUGGAUAUAACUUUUUUUAUAAAUUCCAU